Molecule: ribosomal RNA, 497 nt
Filed under: uncultured bacterium
Lineage: Bacteria
Description: partial 16S ribosomal RNA
Rfam family: Bacterial small subunit ribosomal RNA
Source: RNAcentral
GAUGAACGCUGGCGGCGUGCCUAAUACAUGCAAGUCGAGCGAACAGACGAGGAGCUUGCUCCUCUGACGUUAGCGGCGGACGGGUGAGUAACACGUGGAUAACCUACCUAUAAGACUGGGAUAACUUCGGGAAACCGGCGCUAAUACCGGAUAAUAUAUUGAACCGCAUGGUUCAAUAGUGAAAGACGGUUUUGCUGUCACUUAUAGAUGGAUCCGCGCCGCAUUAGCUAGUUGGUAAGGUAACGGCUUACCAAGGCAACGAUGCGUAGCCGACCUGAGAGGGUGAUCGGCCACAUUGGAGCUGAGACACGGUCCAGACUCCUGCGGGAGGCAGCAGUAGCGAAUCUUCCGCAAUGGGCGAAAGCCUGACGGAGCAACGCCGCGUGAGUGAUGAAGGUCUUCGGAUCGUAAAACUCUGUUAUUAGGGAAGAACAAAUGUGUAAGUAACUAUGCACGUCUUGACGGUACCUAAUCAGAAAGCCACGGCUAACUACGUG